This 345-nucleotide unclassified non-coding RNA is filed under the name soil metagenome. RNAcentral's name for it is "partial contains 5.8S ribosomal RNA, internal transcribed spacer 2, and large subunit ribosomal RNA". The stretch from base 1 to 120 matches the Rfam family "5.8S ribosomal RNA", at positions 35 to 154 of the family's 154-position model. The record is from RNAcentral.
GAUGAAGAACGCAGCGAAAUGCGACAAGUAAUGUGAAUUGCAGAAUUCCGUGAAUCAUCGAGUCUUUGAACGCACAUUGCGCCCCCUGGUAUUCCGGGGGGCAUGCCUGUCCGAGCGUCAUUGCUGCCCUCAAGCACGGCUUGUGUGUUGGGCCUCCGUCCUCCUCCCGGGGGACGGGCCCGAAAGGCAGCGGCGGCACCGCGUCCGGUCCUCGAGCGUAUGGGGCUUCGUCACCCGCUCUUGUAGGCCCGGCCGGCGCUUGCCGACACAUCAAUCUUUUUUCCAGGUUGACCUCGGAUCAGGUAGGGAUACCCGCUGAACUUAAGCAUAUCAAUAAGCGGAGGA